ACACCGGCAGCUCGAGUGGUAGCUGUUUUUAUUGGGCCUAAAGCGUUCGUAGCCGGUUUGAUAAGUCUUUGGUGAAAGCUUGUAGCUUAACUAUAAGAAUUGCUGGAGAUACUAUCAGACUUGAAGUCGGGAGAGGUUAGAGGUACUACCGGGGUAGGGGUGAAAUCCUAUAAUCCUGGGAGGACCACCUGUGGCGAAGGCGUCUAACUGGAACGAUCUUGACGGUGAGUAACGAAAGCCAGGGGCGCGAACCGGAUUAGAUACCCGGGUAGUCCUGGCCGUAAACGAUGUGGACUUGGUGUUGGAAUGGCUUUGAGUUGUUCCGGUGCCGAAGGGAAGCUGUUAAGUCCACCGCCUGGGAAGUACGGUCGCAAGACUGAAACUUAAAUGAAUUGGCGGGG
This 401-nucleotide ribosomal RNA is filed under the name uncultured bacterium. RNAcentral's name for it is "partial 16S ribosomal RNA". It matches the Rfam family "Archaeal small subunit ribosomal RNA", at positions 473 to 873 of the family's 1478-position model. The record is from RNAcentral.